AGCGGCGGACGGGUGAGUAAUGCCUGGGAAUAUGCCCUGAUGUGGGGGAUAACUAUUGGAAACGAUAGCUAAUACCGCAUAAUCUCUUCGGAGCAAAGAGGGGGACCUUCGGGCCUCUCGCGUCAGGAUUAGCCCAGGUGGGAUUAGCUUGUUGGUGAGGUAAUGGCUCACCAAGGCUACGAUCCCUAGCUGGUCUGAGAGGAUGGUCAGCCACACUGGAACUGAGACACGGUCCAGACUCCUACGGGAGGCAGCAGUGGGGAAUAUUGCACAAUGGGGGAAACCCUGAUGCAGCCAUGCCGCGUGUGUGAAGAAGGCCUUCGGGUUGUAAAGCACUUUCAGUAGGGAGGAAGGUAGUGUAGUUAACACCUGCAUUAUUUGACGUUACCUACAGAAGAAGCACCGGCUAACUCCGUGCCAGCAGCCGCGGUAAUACGGAGGGUGCGAGCGUUAAUCGGAAUUACUGGGCGUAAAGCGCAUGCAGGCGGCCUGUUAAGUCAGAUGUGAAAGCCCGGGGCUUAACCUCGGAAUUGCAUUUGAAACUGGCAGG
Molecule: ribosomal RNA, 550 nt
Filed under: uncultured bacterium
Lineage: Bacteria
Description: bacterial SSU rRNA
Rfam family: Bacterial small subunit ribosomal RNA
Source: RNAcentral